Molecule: ribosomal RNA, 494 nt
Filed under: uncultured bacterium
Lineage: Bacteria
Description: partial 16S ribosomal RNA
Rfam family: Bacterial small subunit ribosomal RNA
Source: RNAcentral
GACGAACCCUGGCGGCGUGCUUAACACAUGCAAGUCGAACGGUGAAGCGCCUUCCUUUUUGGUGGGUGUGGAUGAGUGGCGAACGGGUGAGUAACACGUGAGUAACCUGCCCCCUUCUUCUGGAUAACCGCAUGAAAGUGUGGCUAAUACGGGAUAUUCUGGGUCUGUCGCAUGAUGGGUCUGGGAAAGAUAUUGUUUCGGUGGGGGAUGGGCUCGCGGCCUAUCAGCUUGUUGGUGGGGUGAUGGCCUACCAAGGCGGUGACGGGUAGCCGGCCUGAGAGGGUGGACGGUCACACUGGGACUGAGACACGGCCCAGACUCCUACGGGAGGCAGCAGUGGGGAAUAUUGCACAAUGGGCGCAAGCCUGAUGCAGCGACGCCGCGUGAGGGAUGGAGGCCUUCGGGUUGUGAACCUCUUUCGCCAGUGAAGCAGGCCUGCCUCGUUUGUGGGUGGGUUGACGGUAGCUGGAUAAGAAGCGCCGGCUAACUACGUG